AAAAAGACAAACCCUGGGUUUCCGUGUCCAACGUUUGACUGUCCGUCUUAUAUGAAAUUUUUUUAUAAUUAGUAUUUUCAUUGUUGUUAGAUGAUAAAACAUGAUUAAUACUUUAUGCGUGACUUGUCUUUUUUAAAUUUUUUAUAAUUUUUUCAAAUAAGACGGACAGUCAAACGUUGGACACGGAAACCUAGGGUUUGUCUUUUU
This 207-nucleotide microRNA precursor is filed under the name Oryza nivara. RNAcentral describes it as "MIR812 microRNA precursor family". It matches the Rfam family "MIR812 microRNA precursor family". Lineage: Eukaryota; Viridiplantae; Streptophyta; Magnoliopsida; Poales; Poaceae. The record is from Rfam by way of RNAcentral.